This is a long non-coding RNA of Amphimedon queenslandica, 1229 nucleotides long. RefSeq lists it as uncharacterized. The transcript is spliced from 2 exons. The record is from RefSeq and is a predicted model, not a curated record. Lineage: Eukaryota; Metazoa; Porifera; Demospongiae; Haplosclerida; Niphatidae.
AGCUAAGCAUGAUUCAUUUUCAAGCUUUAUAUAAUUGGGUGGUUCCCUCUUCACAUUAUGCUCACUGCUUUAUUCUGAUCAUAUCACCCACUGGUAGUAAAGAAAGACAAAGCCUUUUAUUUUGCACUGCACUGAACACAAGAAGUACUAUUAAACAGCAAAUUAUUGAUAAUCUUUGAUAAUAAAAGCAAUUAAUUUUUGUGUGAGUGCCAGCCUGUUAAUUGUUAGACGCAAAUAAACUAUUGUUGCUAGAAAUUGUUUAUUAGAAUAAAUAGGGAGAGCACAGCACACAAUUAACCUAUAAUGGGUUGUUUAGGCUCGCCCCUUUAAUGUUCUACAUUACUUCUAGUAAUUUAAAGCUUAGUACACGACAUGCAUUUACAUGUGAUUGUCAUACUGCCAAGAGUGAUAAUUAGCUAGGGAGAUCAAGUGUCUAAGUUUCUCAUAGUAGCUGAGAUCAUAAUAUCUAUGCUGAGAUGGGUGCAUGGCUAGACCCACCCUCUGCUAGCCACACAAGACUAUAAAUUAUAACAUGCAGACACGUAGAUAUAAAUAAUGUGACUGUUUAUAUCAGUUUAAUAAAGACAUAAUGUUGUUGACGACAAAGACAGACUAUUGUAUUAAUUAAAACUAUAGAAAAAUAUUAUCUUUGGUAGAUCAGUCUAAAAGUGUAUAAUGAUCAGACCAGGAAUCCACCCCUCUGGGAUCAGACUAGACCAGGAUCAGACCACCAGGCUGAUCAGCACCCCAUUCUACCAAUUAUUCCACCCCUCUGAGUAAUAAGAUAUUAUAAUGAUAUUCAGUGUUUUUUUUAGUAUCUUUCAGUAGCUAUACACUGAUACACCCAUCCUUUAUAGAGGUAUAGUUACAUUGUUCAUUUCAAUUUACAGUGGAAAAGACUUGUUGCUGUAUUUGAAAUUUGCAGGGCUAGAAGGCUCUUCUCUUUUAAAGUCCUGCUAUCUUUAUUGUGGUGCAUUACAUACAAGAUGGUUGAUGUCACUCAAUGGAGAGUGAGUAUUGGAUUAUGGAACUGCUGCCAAGCUGCCUCCAGUAGACCAGCUGAUGGCCACAACUUUCACUCAUUCAAAGAUGCUAUAAACAGCAAGUCAGGCCACAGUACUAUAUCAGGAGAGAAGACACCCAAACAGCUAGCAGCUCUAUCUUUUAUUGUUUCUCUUUUUUUAUUAUUAUUAAGUAUCAAGCUCAUUCUUUUUCCUCCAUCUGGUAAA